CAGCCACAGCCAAAUGCUGACUGAUACCACUAAGAAGGAACAGAAAGACGCAGAGCAGGCACACAUUUUCUGCUAAUAUAAGUGGCAAUAUAGUUAUAGUAUUUGUGUGAAGUCUCAACUCUUAGCGGGGUGAUGCUGAAGGAUGUCAUGAAGCUACUUUUCUCCUCAGGAGCACAGGCCUCGAUUUACGUUUGACCAGAGCCGGUUCCUGGUGGGAAAAGACAAACUGAGCGGAGAACACAGGUUCAACAAAAACAGCCGGGGUAGAAACUCGAUAAGCGAUGACACCACUGUCACCGAGAGUUCAGCAGCUGUAAUAACAACAAGCUGUAAGAAGUGUGCGCUGAGCACGCAAUAACACCCCCCUCACAGGUCAUAUGUGUGUAAACUUAAAGCUUACUGAUGUGUUGUGAAUAGAACAUACGUUCUUUUUUUUUUCUCACUCGUCAGUUGUUGCUGCAUUUGAAAAUAUUGUUGACAUGAAGGUUCGUUGUUCCAAUAGCAUCGGCUAUCCCUCAGGAUCUGCAAAAAUCUCUGCUGGAUGGGAACGUCAAGGCCUUCCACUGCUGAGUGACCUGGUAGGCGUGGAUGAACACCACCAUGACCGCAACCAGACAGAUGAGAGGCACCAGCACCGCUGUGCACAGAGCUGCAUAGAUGUUUGGGAUGAAGCACCUAAAGGGAGAACCAACAACAUUGAAAGUGAUUCCCUGUUUUUCUUCUUCAGUUUAUGUAGAUAGAAAUAUGCAGAAUGUAUGUGGAAAAAAGAGGGGAUUAAAAGAGAGGAAGUUUGCAUCCAUAAAAAGGUAAAGCUCUAAAAUAUGGGAAACGGGUUAAGACUGCAUUUCUUCAACUUUCACAAAUACGUUUUAUCUGGUAAA
This is a long non-coding RNA of Gasterosteus aculeatus aculeatus (three-spined stickleback), 881 nucleotides long. Lineage: Eukaryota; Metazoa; Chordata; Actinopteri; Perciformes; Gasterosteidae. The record is from Ensembl.